RNAcentral lists this ribosomal RNA (549 nucleotides) under uncultured Glomeromycotina. RNAcentral's name for it is "SSU rRNA". It matches the Rfam family "Eukaryotic small subunit ribosomal RNA", at positions 548 to 1098 of the family's 1831-position model. Lineage: Eukaryota; Fungi; Glomeromycota. The record is from RNAcentral.
UUGGAGGGCAAGUCUGGUGCCAGCAGCCGCGGUAAUUCCAGCUCCAAUAGCGUAUAUUAAAGUUGUUGCAGUUAAAAAGCUCGUAGUCGAAUUUCGGGAUCAAUUUAUCGGUCGUGCCUAUGGUAUGAACUGGUACAAUUGGUUUCUCCCUUCUGACGAAGCAUGAUGUCAUUAAUUUGGUGUCGUGGGGAAUCAGGACUGUUACUUUGAAAAAAUUAGAGUGUUUAAAGCAAGCAUUAGCUUGAAUACAUUAGCAUGGAAUAAUGAAAUAGGACGUUUGAUCCUAUUUCGUUGGUUUCUAGGAUCGACGUAAUGAUUAAUAGGGAUAGUUGGGGGCAUUAGUAUUCAAUUGUCAGAGGUGAAAUUCUUGGAUUUAUUGAAGACUAACUACUGCGAAAGCAUUUGCCAAGGAUGUUUUCAUUAAUCAAGAACGAAAGUUAGGGGAUCGAAGACGAUCAGAUACCGUCGUAGUCUUAACCAUAAACUAUGCCGACUAGGGAUCGGAUGAUGUUAAUUUUUUAAUGACUCAUUCGGCGCCUUACGGGAAAC